Non-coding RNA from Camellia sinensis, 335 nucleotides. The record is from RefSeq and is a predicted model, not a curated record. Lineage: Eukaryota; Viridiplantae; Streptophyta; Magnoliopsida; Ericales; Theaceae.
UGCAUAUUACAUACAUAUUUUAGAUGGUGGUAGUUGAUAUUAUAAGGAAUGUUUAGGUUCUAUUGUUUGAAGAAAGAUGCUAAUGCUAGGGUCUGGAGACUAGUUUUUUUAUGUCCUGAUAUCUUGACUUCUGUUGGACUGUAAACAUUUUUGUUCUCAACUUUGUGUCAGAAUUUUUUUUUUUAUAUUAUACAGUGGUACGCGGAUUAAGACCCGCAAACGGAAUAUUGCAGCUCCUCUGGACCCUUCAACAUUUGCGGAUGCAGUGGUCCAGAUUUAUCUGGAUAAUGCUGGUGAUCUGGAACUCAUUGCUAAGAGCAUUGAAUCUUCGGACC